This 253-nucleotide ribosomal RNA is filed under the name uncultured bacterium. RNAcentral's name for it is "partial 16S ribosomal RNA". It matches the Rfam family "Bacterial small subunit ribosomal RNA", at positions 524 to 776 of the family's 1533-position model. The record is from RNAcentral.
UACGGAGGGUGCGAGCGUUGUCCGGAAUCAUUGGGCGUAAAGAGCGUGUAGGCGGCCAGGUAGGUCGGUUGUGAAAACUGGAGGCUCAACCUUCAGACGUCGACCGAAACCAUCUGGCUAGAGUCCGGGAGAGGAGAGUGGAAUUCCUGGUGUAGCGGUGGAAUGCGCAGAUAUCAGGAGGAACACCGAUGGCGAAGGCAGGUCACUGGGCCGCAACUGACGCUGAGGAGCGAAAGCAUGGGGAGCGAACAGG